CCCUUAGAUGUCCGGGGCUGCACGCGCGCUACACUGAAGGAAUCAGCGUGCUAAAACCAUUGUCGAAAGGCAUUGGUAAACCCAUUAAAAUCCUACGUGAUUGGGAUCGGGAAUUGCAAUUAUUUCCCUUGAACGAGGAAUUCCCAGUAAGUGUGGGUCAUAAGCUCGCGUUGAUUACGUCCCUGCCCUUUGUACACACCGCCCGUCGCUGCCCGGGACUGAGCCGUUUCGAGAAAAGCGGGGACUGCUGCUGUCGGGGCUUUCGGGCCUUGGCUUCGGUGGAAACCGCUUUAAUCGCAGUGGCUUGAACCGGGCAAAAGUCGUAACG
This 328-nucleotide ribosomal RNA is filed under the name uncultured eukaryote. RNAcentral describes it as "partial 18S ribosomal RNA". It matches the Rfam family "Eukaryotic small subunit ribosomal RNA", at positions 1470 to 1796 of the family's 1831-position model. The record is from RNAcentral.